Molecule: long non-coding RNA, 1290 nt
Filed under: Struthio camelus australis
Lineage: Eukaryota; Metazoa; Chordata; Aves; Struthioniformes; Struthionidae
Description: lncRNA (ENSSCUG00000016751.1)
Source: RNAcentral
GAUGUGGAAAGCUUUGUGGUCGGCUUUGGAGGUGGCGACAUCAUCGACGGUUAUGAAACUCUUGAAGAUUGACACAGGAGGAAGAAGAAUGGAAGUCUAUGGGAGAAAAUAGAAUCUGGAGGAGAAUGACAGGCUGCUCAGCAAAAGCUUAACAGGAGGAUUGACGAUUAUGCGGAUUUUAGACACUGUCUGUUAACCUACUAAUAGAAUGUGACUGCAUUGCGCGUGGCAUUCAGCAGUAACCAAUCAAAUGAUGGCUUAAACGCGUGAACAGACAACAACACUAUAUAACCUGCGGUUUCGCUUAAUAAAGGGUCUUCUGAUCAAUAUUCACGAAUCCGUGCACUUAAUCUCCUCACCAGGAGGUGUCAGCCUCUCCUGCCGCUGCCUGGACGCACGCACUUGCAGGAGGUGUAAGGCAGGGGUUGCUUAGCACUUACAGCUGUGACUAGGAUUAGAUUCACCCUGGUGCUAAGCUGAACCCAUGAGACGGACAGUUGUCCCUGUUUCCAGCAGAGCGACGCGACCAAGUUUCAGAGGCAGCAAAUUACCCCGACCCCCGGAGCAAAGCGAGAAGCCGCAGGAGGUGGGAAGGGGAACCAUGACUUCCUUUUGGGCCUUCAACUAGGACAAGAUGAUAUUUGCAUUCGUGCAAGUCCUGUUUUCCCCCUAAACAAGAAUGAGCCCUAAAUAAGAUUGUAGGAGCCAAGCAACGUGUGUGCAGUGCUAGGGACUCAUGCUUCGCUCGGGCUGUCUAAAUAAUAUAGCGCCCUGCCUAAGUCAGGGACGUGGCGGGGUUAUAGAACAGCUGUACAUACAUCGUCUCUCCAGAGGGCAUUUGUCCAAGGGUGCUCCAUUCUCCACCACAUCUUCAUCACUUCAGCUUCCUUGGGGCAGAUAGGAGCCCAAGCGAGGAAACUGGAACACAAACAAGUUCAGAGCCAAAAAUACCACUGUCCCCCAGGCACCCGUUAUUAAAUGAUUUCUGCCAGGGGGAUUGGACGAGAAUUGUGCUGUGGUGGCUGGACGCGUAGAAAAUCCAUACGCAAUUCGUACCCUUUUACCGGCUCUCCAAGGGGUUGGGGCGCCUCUGGACUUGCCCAGAAAUGUUUCCCCAAAUGCAGUAGCGUUGCCCACUGGCCUUUCCGACCGCUUGAGAGCUGGGGCAGGAAAAUGUGCGCGGUGAUCACACUGCGGGGCAGCCUGCACAAGGAGACAGCCACCCUACAGGAGGAUAAAAGAGAAAAACCCCAUCCCCUCUUCUCUGAUAUGAGGACAACUUCUCUGUGA